Non-coding RNA from Heterocephalus glaber (naked mole-rat), 1105 nucleotides. The record is from RefSeq and is a predicted model, not a curated record. NCBI's taxonomy places the organism in Eukaryota, Metazoa, Chordata, Mammalia, Rodentia, Bathyergidae.
CUGACACUUCUCAGAUGUAGCUCUCCAUGUCCAGAGAUAACAACAACAACAACAACAACAACAACAAAAGCCAAGUCAUCUGUUUCCAUUAACCUAAUACAAAAUUGUAAGACACAAGAGAUGUUCCCCUUUAAAAGGAGGAGAUAUGGUGCUCCUUGGUGGCAGCAUCUCUCCCACUGUGUACAGCUAUCAAACCUGGCAGAAUGGAGCAGCUACUCAAGGAAUAUGAAAAAUAACUGGCGGGGCAUUGGGGAAGAAGAUUAGUAUUCAAAUUUUUAAAAAAAUCAAUGGUGCCGGGUAUUUUGUAUCAGCAAACGGGAGAAAACUAAGACAGAACAAAUCAGCAACCUGACAUGAUAUCAGAGUUUUGAGUGCCCACUCAUCAAGGCUGAGAAAGCUCCAACGGACUAGGGUCUCUGCUGAUUCUGAGAAGUCAAAGUUAAAUGAAUGCAUCAUUUCUAACUCAACUACUAAGAGAUACAGGAUGAUUAUAAUUAUUCCUUGUAUCCAGGAUACCUCACAAGACUGAGGCAACACCAAAAUGAUGAAAUAUCGUUUUUAAAAAAGCAAUCAAUACUGGCCAUUUAUUAUCUCAAGUUGUAUUUGUGAAUGUCAGGUUUUGCUUACAGAUGCUGCUGUAUAUCUGACUUCACUGAUUCUUAGUGAUGUUCCUUUUCAUAUGUUGCUCUAGCUAUGUCCAGGAAUGAGAUGGAGGGUAUGGAAAGUGCUCUCUUCUUUUACCGGGACUGACUUAGCUCAACAUACUCUAGAACUGUACUAGUUUAGUUCUAGAGUAAAAUAAAAUGCUAACACCAAGUCUGGGAGAGAUUUAUGUACAUUUAUUAUAAAUUUUUGAUAAAAAUGUGAUUUGCAUUCUUGAAUAUUCAUAAGUAUUCUAUUUAUCUACAUACAAAUAAACCUCAAUAUUAAUGGUAAAACUUUAGCAUUUUUUUUGAAACAGGCUCUUGCUUUGUAGCUCACACUUGCCUGGAACUCACAUUCCUCCAGCUUCAGCAUUCCAUUUGAUGGGAUUUCCCGUGUGCAAUACCAUGCCCAGGUCAAACCUUAGGGUUUUAAAGAGGAACAUUUCUGCCUUACCUACCUA